UACUAACCUGCAGUUAUGUAGUAAAGCACACGAUUGUGUCGCAGUUGCAUUGCCGACCAAAUAGAUCACGUGGCCACACACACACACACACGUUCCCAGUUCCCAGAAGAGCGGAUUCCAUAAUGCUUUUUUUACGCAUGCGCGUUACCGGGCGACAUUCGUUCCACUCGUUCACGCGCGGGACGAACGGGCUCUAAUCCCGGAAAACGAGCGGGAUACGUCGCCGACGUGAAGUCCAAGCGAGAUUUGGUAAACCCGGAUCGGACCGGCCGUGUGUCGCGGCUCGAACUGUUCACGGAUGCGCACCCAUUCUCAUCGGACGUUCUAAACCGAGGAAAGAAGGAUGGCUAGAAUCUCCACUGGAGGGAUGGAAGCGCAUGUGAUAGAGUCUGGAAGGGGAAGCACUGAACAGACGGCAGCCAUGAUGGCACGAACAGGCCAAUCGCUGCAUCGCUUCGUACUGUUACUGCAUAAUGGCCGCGCAGCUCCGCCCAAUGUAAAACUCGAUGGACGUUACGCUUAUUGGACACGAAAGCGUUAAAAAUUUUAUUGCGUGCCUGACAGUUACACCCCGCUUUUGAAACUGUCCCCUACUACGAUUUCCAUCUUCCUCCCUAACUAAUCCUAAAAACCGGCACAAAGAUCUGUAAAAGCUAUAUUUUCUUUGGUAAAUCAUCUAUGCUUAGUUAUCCCGAAAUGCUUACGAAAUGUACUUGUCUCAAUAAAGAAUUAAGCUCGAGGC
This is a long non-coding RNA of Ooceraea biroi (clonal raider ant), 742 nucleotides long. RefSeq lists it as uncharacterized. The record is from RefSeq and is a predicted model, not a curated record. NCBI's taxonomy places the organism in Eukaryota, Metazoa, Arthropoda, Insecta, Hymenoptera, Formicidae.